Molecule: long non-coding RNA, 405 nt
Filed under: Brachypodium distachyon (stiff brome)
Lineage: Eukaryota; Viridiplantae; Streptophyta; Magnoliopsida; Poales; Poaceae
Description: long non-coding RNA (BDIS_LNC002618)
Source: RNAcentral
AAUACAAGAAAUGCCGAUGGAUGGUUCUACGAAUAGUCUCUUCUGGAUCUAGAUUUAGCGAAACACUCGUUAUGUGUUUUGGCUAUCCCAGUAAGCACCAUUUUUCCAUUUUUUUUGUUUUGAAGGAGGAGACUCCCAGGAGAGCUUAGCUAAGCGCAUACUAAUUAGCAAUCAACCAAACCAAAGAAUACAUCAUCAUACUGUUAAAAAAAAGAAAGAAUUCAUCCUUGUUGGAGAAAGAGUCUAUGGUUUCAAAAGGAGAAAUAGCUUCACAAUGAGCUGGUGACCACCAAUCAAUAUAUACCAUUCAUAACUACCAAUGUAAUUCGUCAUAUUUGUUGGCACUCCAUUAGUGUAUUAUAUUUUCAUUACCUGUCAGUUCUAACAGUACUAUAAUUCCACAUA